AAGUGUGACCGGACUUCAAAAUGUAAUUAACCCGACCGUUGAAAUCCCUUCACCAUGGAAUUGGAAUCCUAUAAACAAAAUCUGUAGCCGACAAGAUCAGUAUGAAGCUUAUUUCAAUGGCGAAAUCUCAUUUGCCUGCAUAUGCUUCCUCUUCCGCAAAAAUCCACCCCGAGAUAGACCCCAAUUCCUGCUCCCUUGAGAAGUUCAAGCUUUAGGAGAGCAGAGCGAGGUUCUAUUUAAUUGGGAGUGACAGGAACAAGAGGUUUUUUCGAGUGUUGAAAAUUGAUCUAUCAGAGCCGUCUGAUCUAAAUAUCAACGAGGAUACGGUGGUUUAUUCCCCCUCAGGAAAUCAAAAACCUGCUUCAAUUUAAUUGGGAGUGACAGGAACAAGAGGUCUUUUUAUUUAGGAGGGGUUGCAUUAAGUUUUUGGAGUCAUAUUAUUUGAUUUUGGUUACCAAGCAAAGACAAAUUGGAUGUAUAUGCGGUCAUGCGAUAUACAGUAUAGAUGAGCGCAAUUGAUUAUGCUUCCUCAUGUCUCUAUUCAAUCAGAUGGGGCGCAUUCGAAAAUCGA
Long non-coding RNA from Pistacia vera, 571 nucleotides. RefSeq lists it as uncharacterized. The transcript is spliced from 3 exons. Lineage: Eukaryota; Viridiplantae; Streptophyta; Magnoliopsida; Sapindales; Anacardiaceae. The record is from RefSeq and is a predicted model, not a curated record.